This 382-nucleotide unclassified non-coding RNA is filed under the name soil metagenome. RNAcentral's name for it is "partial contains 5.8S ribosomal RNA, internal transcribed spacer 2, and large subunit ribosomal RNA". The stretch from base 1 to 120 matches the Rfam family "5.8S ribosomal RNA", at positions 35 to 154 of the family's 154-position model. The record is from RNAcentral.
GAUGAAGAACGUAGCGAAAUGCGAUAAGUAAUGUGAAUUGCAGAAUUCAGUGAAUCAUCGAAUCUUUGAACGCACCUUGCACCCUUUGGCAUUCCGAAGGGUAUGCUCGUUUGAGUGUCAUUGUACUCUCACACUUCUGAUCCUUUGGAUUGGGAGCGGUGGACUUGGGUGUUGCUGCUUUACUGUGGCUCACCUCAAAUGCAUUCGUGCAACUCUUGGUUGGACAUAGUACGGCGUGAUAAGUAUCUUCGCCGGCACCUCGCAAGAGGGUGGCUGAUCAGGAGCUCUGUGCUUUCCAACUGUCUUCAGACAACAACUGACAACUUGACCUCAAAGCGAGUAGGACCACCCGCUGAACUUAAGCAUAUCAAUAAGCGGAGGA